GCGGGUGAUAGUGGAGCUGUAGCGGGUGAUAGUGGAGCUGUAGCGGGUGAUAGUGGAGCUGUAGCGGGUGAUAGUGGAGCUGUAGGAGGUGGUAGUGGAGCUGUAGCGGGUGAUAGUGGAGCUGUAGAAGGUGAUAGUGGAGCUGUAGCAGGUGGUAGUGGAGCUGUAGCAGGUGAUAGUGGAGCUGUAGCAGGUGAUAGAUAGUGGAGCUGUAGAAGGUGAUAGUGGAGCUGUAGCAGGUGGUAGUGGAGCUGUAGCAGGUGAUAGAUAGUGGAGCUGUAGCAGGUGAUAGAUAGUGGAGCUGUAGCAGGUGACAGUGGAGCUGUAGCGGGUGAUAGUGGAGCUGUAGCAGGUGAUAGUGGAGCUGUAGCAGGUGAUAGUGGAGCUGUAGCAGGUGAUAGUGGAGCUGUAGCGGGUGAUAGUGGAGCUGUAGCGGGUGAUAGUGGAGCUGUAGCGGGUGAUAGUGGAGCUGUAGCAGGUGAUAGUGGAGCUGUAGCGGUGAUAGUGGAGCUGUAGCGGGUGAUAGUGGAGCUGUAGCGGGUGAUAGUGGAGCUGUAGCGGGUGAUAGUGGAGCUGUAGCGAGUGAUAGUGGAGCUGUAGCAGGUGAUAGUGGAGCUGUAGCGGGUGAUAGUGGAGCUGUAGCAGGUGAUAGUGGAGCUGUAGCGGGUGAUAGUGGAGCUGUAGCAGGUGAUAGUGGAGCUGUAGCGGGUGAUAGUGGAGCUGUAGCAGGUUAUAGUGGUAAACCAACCAGCUGGAUCUUUAUUUAGUUUUCUGCUCCUUUAAGUACAGAAGUGACCCUCCCAGCCAGUUAUGAUACACACACACACACACACACACACACACACACACACACACACACACACACACACACACAACACACACACACACUGUCAUGACACACUCCCAAAACACAGGAAAUGGGGUCUACUGGUGGUACACUGAUAAUUCUGUUCUGACAGUUUUAGUGCAUGAUGCUUGGGCAACAGGUUUACCCUUCACCCCCCC
RNAcentral lists this long non-coding RNA (1005 nucleotides) under Salmo salar (Atlantic salmon). Its description in RNAcentral is "lncRNA (ENSSSAG00000085602.1)". The record is from RNAcentral. Lineage: Eukaryota; Metazoa; Chordata; Actinopteri; Salmoniformes; Salmonidae.